GCACCCGUAGCUCAGCUGGAUAGAGCGCUGCCCUCCGAAGGCAUGUGUCAAGUCCGCUGGGUGGA
RNAcentral lists this transfer RNA (65 nucleotides) under Mesorhizobium alhagi CCNWXJ12-2. Its description in RNAcentral is "tRNA-Arg". Lineage: Bacteria; Pseudomonadati; Pseudomonadota; Alphaproteobacteria; Hyphomicrobiales; Phyllobacteriaceae. The record is from RNAcentral.